UUAGAACUUGUUACAAAAUUGCGUCCGU
This 28-nucleotide small RNA is filed under the name Bombyx mori (domestic silkworm). RNAcentral's name for it is "ovarian small RNA-36687". The record is from RNAcentral. Lineage: Eukaryota; Metazoa; Arthropoda; Insecta; Lepidoptera; Bombycidae.